GAGAUCUGAGAUCUGAGAGCGAGAAUAGUGUUUUUUUAUUUUCCAUUUGUUUUUCGUGCUAAAAGAAUGCUACACUAAUUAAGCCAGCAUUCAGGUUUAUCUGUCUAGGUCCGCACCAUAACCUUUGAACAGGAGAGACAACACAGAAGCUUGUAAGCCAGAAGAAAGAAAUCUAGAAAGACAGAAAAAAAGAGAGA
Long non-coding RNA from Polyodon spathula (Mississippi paddlefish), 197 nucleotides. RefSeq lists it as uncharacterized. The transcript is spliced from 3 exons. Lineage: Eukaryota; Metazoa; Chordata; Actinopteri; Acipenseriformes; Polyodontidae. The record is from RefSeq and is a predicted model, not a curated record.